This 487-nucleotide ribosomal RNA is filed under the name uncultured bacterium. RNAcentral's name for it is "partial 16S ribosomal RNA". It matches the Rfam family "Bacterial small subunit ribosomal RNA", at positions 899 to 1397 of the family's 1533-position model. The record is from RNAcentral.
ACUCAAAUGAAUUGACGGGGACCUGCACAAGCGGUGGAGCGUGUGAUUUAAUUCGAUACUAAGCGAAGAACCUUACCCAGGCUUGACAUCUCUGGAAAGUCCAUGAAAGUGGACCGUGCCGCAAGGAACCAGAUGACAGGUGCUGCACGGUUGUCGUCAGCUCGUGCUGUGAAGUGUCCCGUUCAGUCGGUUAACGAGCGCAACCCCUAUCCUGUGUUGUAUUUCUCACAGGAAACUGCCCAUGUUAAGUGGGAGGAAGGUGGGGAUGACGUCAAAUCAGCGUGGCUCUUACGCCUGGGGCGAUACACGCGCUACAAUGGGGAGUAACAAUGGGUUGCCAAGCCGCGAGGCGGAGCUAAUCCCACCAAACCUCCCCCCAGUUCGGAUCGGAGGCUGCAACUCGCCUCCGUGAAGCCGGAAUCGCUAGUAACGGCCGGUCAGCCAUACGGCCGUGAAUACGUUCUCAGGUCUUGUACACACCGCCCGU